CAGGGGGUAGUUUACCUAAAACAAUAGCUUUGGGAGUUGUAGAAGCAAGUUUAAAUCUUGUCUCUCUGA
RNAcentral lists this transfer RNA (69 nucleotides) under Lethasterias nanimensis. RNAcentral describes it as "tRNA-Pro". It matches the Rfam family "tRNA". Rfam says of the family: Transfer RNA (tRNA) molecules are approximately 80 nucleotides in length. Their secondary structure includes four short double-helical elements and three loops (D, anti-codon, and T loops). Further hydrogen bonds mediate the characteristic L-shaped molecular structure. tRNAs have two regions of fundamental functional importance: the anti-codon, which is responsible for specific mRNA codon recognition, and the 3' end, to which the tRNAs corresponding amino acid is attached (by aminoacyl-tRNA synthetases). tRNAs cope with the degeneracy of the genetic code in two manners: having more than one tRNA (with a specific anti-codon) for a particular amino acid; and 'wobble' base-pairing, i.e. permitting non-standard base-pairing at the 3rd anti-codon position. The record is from RNAcentral. Lineage: Eukaryota; Metazoa; Echinodermata; Asteroidea; Forcipulatida; Asteriidae.